UACGGAGGGAGCUAGCGUUGUUCGGAAUUACUGGGCGUAAAGCGCACGUAGGCGGCUUUGUAAGUUAGAGGUGAAAGCCCGGGGCUCAACCCCGGAAUUGCCUUUAAGACUGCAUCGCUUGAAUCCGGGAGAGGGAUGCGGAAUUCCAGGUGUAGCGGUGAAAUGCGUAGAUAUCUGGAGGAACACCGGUGGCGAAGGCGGCAUCCUGGACCGGCAUUGACGCUGAGGCGCGAAAGCCAGGGGAGCAAACGGG
This 253-nucleotide ribosomal RNA is filed under the name uncultured bacterium. RNAcentral's name for it is "partial 16S ribosomal RNA". It matches the Rfam family "Bacterial small subunit ribosomal RNA", at positions 524 to 776 of the family's 1533-position model. The record is from RNAcentral.